CAAUUAAAUACUUAAAAUGUACUCUGAAUCUUUCUUUCCAAAGCAGACUGUUAGAUCAUAGUUCAACUAAAAAAGAGAUGGAUUUAGUUAAUUAACAACUUCUAAAAACCUCUCAUCAAAUCAAUGGUGAGUCCUCUGGAAUUAAAUAACACAGGCAGUGACUCUAAGCCAGGAAUGUUCUCCUAAACCACUUCAUGGCUCUCUGGUUCAUGCAGAAGCAUGUUGGCAUAUAAUGAAUGGCCUUGUAAACUGGAACAUCUGGAGUCAUUUAGAUGAUGAGAUAAGUGGAGUCUGAGGCUGCUCUGAGUGUCCAGCUGAAGGCUUGACCGGAAGUCAGGGCUGAUGGCUGAUACGGAACUCUUCCUGAGAACAAGUGGCUUAAACUGAACUGGCUGUCCUGGAGCAGACCUCAAGUGAGCUGCAUCUUUGAGACAUUAGCAUCUGGGGACAUUCUGAAACAACUACAGAAUCUGGAAGUUGAAUGCAAAACUGGAGAACUCUGCAUCCUGGUAUUUACACCUUCAGAUGACAUCUCCUUGAGUGAAGGCUGGACUACCCGACAGGCUUCCAUUGAGCAGAACACAGCAGAAGUGAUGGGGCAGCACUCCCAAGAUUAGGUGAUAGACUCUAGCCAUCAUCUCUUUUGUCUUCUCCUGUAUCACUCGCCUUGGGGGAAGCCAGCACCCUCAGCCUGAGGCCAGCCCUGCAGAGAGGGAUGGAGACCUGCCAGGUGGCUUGGAAGUAGGGUGCCCACUGUUCAAACAGUCUGAUGAGAAUGCAGCCUGUCCAACAACCUGACUGCAAUCUCCUAGCAACCUAGCCCUGGAAGCACUCAGUUAUACAAACUUAGAUUCCUGACCUGCAGAAAUGUGCUUAGUCCUUUCGUGAUUACAGACUGUGGCAUGGUGCCUCCCUGGACGCCUAGCACGUGAGGUGAUGUCUAUUCACUGCUCAGCGCACAGGCUAGGAGACAAGGGCGUGGCACUCAUGCCUGUGGCUUGUGAGCGUUUACAGAUCCACGGGAAGAUAUGUUUAAUGAAAUUACUGACUAAACUGUGAUUUUGGCUCCAUCCAUUAUUUUUCAAGCCCUUGCUCUCUCUGUCCGCUGCCACCCAACAGUGAAUUGCUGUCUUGGGCUGUGCAUGCAAAGAAAUGACUCUCCACAUGAAGAAUAGUUUGGAAACUUGAAUGCUGGAAAUCAUGGACACCCAAGCUCUGUGGUUGUGGCAGCUCUGGAUGAUUAAAAAUCUGCCUGCAGGGCAGCCCUGGUGGCUCGGUGGUUUAGCGGCGCCUUCAGCCCAGGGCGUGAUCCUGGAGACCUGGGAUCGAGUCCCAUGUCGGGCUCCCAGCAUGCAGCCUGUUUCUCCCUCUGCCUGU
Long non-coding RNA from Canis lupus familiaris (dog), 1377 nucleotides. RefSeq lists it as uncharacterized. The record is from RefSeq and is a predicted model, not a curated record. Lineage: Eukaryota; Metazoa; Chordata; Mammalia; Carnivora; Canidae. The transcript has 6 exons.